AUUGAACGCUGGCGGCAUGCCUUACACAUGCAAGUCGAACGGUAACAGGUCUUUCGGGAUGCUGACGAGUGGCGAACGGGUGAGUAAUACAUCGGAACGUGCCUAGUAGUGGGGGAUAACUACUCGAAAGAGUGGCUAAUACCGCAUGAGAUCUAUGGAUGAAAGCAGGGGACCUUUGGGCCUUGUGCUACUAGAGCGGCCGAUGGCAGAUUAGGUAGUUGGUGGGAUAAAAGCUUACCAAGCCUACGAUCUGUAGCUGGUCUGAGAGGACGAUCAGCCACACUGGGACUGAGACACGGCCCAGACUCCUACGGGAGGCAGCAGUGGGGAAUUUUGGACAAAGGGCGCAAGCCUGAUCCAGCAAUGCCGCGUGCGUGAUGAAGGCCUUCGGGUUGUAAACUGCUUUUAUACGGAACGAAAAGCAUUGGGUUAAUACCCUGGGAUCAUGACGGUACCGUAAGAAUAAGCACCGGCUAACUACGUG
This 484-nucleotide ribosomal RNA is filed under the name uncultured bacterium. RNAcentral's name for it is "partial 16S ribosomal RNA". It matches the Rfam family "Bacterial small subunit ribosomal RNA", at positions 30 to 507 of the family's 1533-position model. The record is from RNAcentral.